CGUCAAUUUGUUUGAAUCUAUUUGUUGUUUCAGGGCUAAAAAAAAAAAAAAGUGCAAUAAAGCUGUCACAUGUUAAUUUUUUCCCACAAAAAAAGGCAACAACAAAACAGUUAACGUUCUCACAUCAACUUUCUUUACGCCAUUGUAUGUAAUUGAAAUGUUUACUUUUCGUCCAAUGAGUUUCUUACUAAGUGACAUGCGUAUGCAUUCUGGACUUGGACAGAAAGAAGACCCCGGCAACACUGUUAUCCAGGGGAGCAUCUGUGGGUUCCCACCCAAGAUUACGUGUAUGUGUCGGCACAGUGAUUCAUCCCACAGCUGCCCCCCAACUGGCUGCAGCUCUUCAGUCGCUGCACAGCCCCCACAGCAAGAGGCCAGGCCAGGAGCACAGCUGGCCAGACUUGGUGGAGCCAGUCGACAGGCGCAUGGAGCGCAGCCCGCCCAGGGCCCGCUUCCUCCACAAACAUGCCCAGGUGUGGGGCCUCCGAGCUGGGCUUCUGAUCUCUAAACAGCACAGUGUGUGUGUGCGCACGUGUGUGUGAGUACGUGUUGUAGGCAGGGACGAUAUAGGAUGAGGGAUCAAGAAGGCAAAGGGGGAUAUGGUGUGAUUGUGCGGGGAUGGUGGGGGCAUCCCUGCCGAAGCUGUGUCAACAUUGUGUGUUAAUGUGUUUGAGUAUGUGCAUCUGUAUCUGCAUGUGUUUGCAUUUCGGGAAGCGGGGGUCACCCUUGGGGUAGACAGUGGGCAACAACAAUUACCGCAGAACUGAAGCUGAAUCGUCUCAAUUGUUCAUGCUGUGGCCUUCUUACACAAUUACAGUACAAAAAUACUUUGGCUAUAGGCAAUAAGUGAGCACAUAUCUCAAAAUUCAUAGGAAUCACAUCAGACAAUUGUUCAUGCUGAGCUAGGGCUUUAAAUAAAACCACUAGUCAACAUAUCCAAUUCAGUGCUCUAUUAUUAAUCACUUUGUAAAUCACUACUUCAACAGAACAAAUCCAUGUAACUGUACAACACAGUACUGCCUUAUAUGAUAUGUGACCCUCACUGGCCUUUCCACUUGGUUACAACUAAUGGCAAGCACACUUUGGCCUGGUUGUCCUCCAAAAAAAGCAUUUGUGAAUUCCGAGACACUUUCAAAUUCCCUCAAAUGCACACAGGCCAUGAGUACACGGUGCACCAGAUGAAACAUGGUGUUACAGGAGGCGUUUGCACUGGGGUCACAUCAGAUAAGACAAGGCCAGACGGCCUAGAUAAGCUCUUUGAACGGCUCUAUCUGCGGAGUCAGCGCUCGCAAGUUUCUCCCCUGCAGCCGUUUCACAUGAUGACUGCUAGCCAAGCCACUGAUGCCGGUUUGUUUGCAGCCUAGCACUGCUACUAAUUAACUGGAGGAACCCAAGGCCUUCUGACUGACUGCCUUGUCUAUUGCAAUCCCCCCACUCAGGAUUGCUCAUGCAUGCAUGACACUCACGCAAAUACAUGCACACACACAGCCUGCUAUCUGUUGAAGACCCCAGGAGAAUCUCAGAUGGUGUAGGUGGCCCUCUUGUGGAGGACUGGAAAACGAGGGGGUGGCAAAGAUUGCUAGGAAUGGGAGUUUUUGAGCUAGUAGUAUUUGUUUACUGUAGAUAAAUUAUUUUGUUUCUAGCUAUCUAUUCCCUUUGAAGUUCCUUUUAGAUAAAAUCUUUCUCACAGACCAACAACAAAACAGCCCAAAAGGGAAAGUCUUUCAAUGAAAAUCCAACCUUUGAACUAUUAACGGUCCCUGGCUUGGACUAGGAACACGUGUUGCCCUCAAGCUCACUACGCUACAUUCUGAUUAGCAAUGAUGAACGUUGGUUCAGGCAAGAUACAUUUUAGGGGGGCAGUUUACAUGGCGACUCUGCAACACGAAGACGCAAUGACUGUGUUGCGGAGUGGCCUCGCGUUCGUAUUGUUUCGGCGAAGACGGAAGGCAAAGACGCAAACCUUGGAAUCCUGCCUCCAAAGUGGAAGAAUUCGAUUGCGGGGGCAUGCAUAUCAAAAGCUCCCACGGCGUGGGACCGCGUCGAUAACGUCAACACUCGUACACGUCACACUGGGCGUGCGCAUUGGUGCUACUAAACAUUAAAAACAGCAAAUAUGGCGGAACGUAGGCUUUAAUUUACUGGGACCAUCUGAAUGAUGCAGAGGGAUCAUGGGAGAAAGUCAUGUGGUCAGAUGAGACCAAAGUCGAACUUUUAGGUACAAACUUUACUCGUUGUGUUUGGAGGAAAAAGAAGAAGGAGUACAACCCCAAGAACACCAUCCCCACUGUGAAGUCUAGGGGUGGAAACCUCUUGCUUUGGGGCUGCUUUUUGGCAAAGGAGACAAGACGACCGUACUGUAUAAAGCAGAGGAUGAAUGGUGAAAUGCAUCAUCAGAUUUUGAGCCACAACCUCCUUCCUUCAGUCGGAAAGAUGAGUCGUGGCUAAAUCUUCCAACAUGACAAUGAUCCAAAGCACACAGCCAAGCUGACCAAGGAGUGGCUGCCUAAAAAGCAUAUCAAGGUUCUGGAGUGGCCUAGUCAGUCUCCAGACCUCAAUCCAAUAGAAAUCUUUGAAUGGAGCCGAAACUUUGUGUUACUCAACCACAGCCCCGAAACCUG
Molecule: long non-coding RNA, 2621 nt
Organism: Corythoichthys intestinalis (scribbled pipefish)
Lineage: Eukaryota; Metazoa; Chordata; Actinopteri; Syngnathiformes; Syngnathidae
Exons: 3
Source: RefSeq, a predicted model, not a curated record